AACGCAUCUGGCGCCCCCGGGUCCUGCCCGGAGGCAUGUCUGUUUGAGAAUCAUUUUGCACUUGACGCACCGUUAAGACGUCGACUUGGACUCACAGCAGUGUCUGUCCGAAAGCCAGCGGCGCUGUCGUGGGUUAGCGUGAGCGUGACACGCAGCGUAGUACGUGAUUGGUCGAUGGUCUCAAAUCAGACAAGACUACCCGCCGAACUUAA
This 212-nucleotide unclassified non-coding RNA is filed under the name uncultured fungus. Its description in RNAcentral is "partial internal transcribed spacer 2". Lineage: Eukaryota; Fungi. The record is from RNAcentral.